AACCUGGUUGAUCCUGCCAGUAGUCAUAUGCUUGUCUCAAAGAUUAAGCCAUGCAUGUCUAAGUAUAAGCGACUUGUACUGUGAAACUGCGAAUGGCUCAUUAAAUCAGUUAUGGUUUAUUUGAUGGUACCUUACUACUUGGAUAACCGUAGUAAUUCUAGAGCUAAUACAUGCAGGAGGUCCCGACUUCGGAAGGGAUGUAUUUAUUAGAUAAGAAACCAAUCCGGCUUGCCGGUUGCGUGCUGAGUCACAAUAACUGCUCGAAUCGAAUGGCCUUGCGCCGUCGAUGGUUCAUUCAAAUUUCUGCCCUAUCAGCUUUCGAUGGUAGGAUCGAGGCCUACCAUGGCGUUUACGGGUAACGGAGAAUUAGGGUUCGAUUCCGGAGAGGGAGCCUGAGAAAUGGCUACCACAUCCAAGGAAGGCAGCAGGCGCGUAAAUUGCCCGAAUCCUGACACAGGGAGGUAGUGACAAGAAAUAACAAUACAGGGCUACUUUAGUCUUGUAAUUGGAAUGAGUACAAUUUACAUCUCUUCACGAGGAUCAAUUGGAGGGCAAGUCUGGU
RNAcentral lists this ribosomal RNA (562 nucleotides) under Chrysochromulina sp. G3-53-A2. RNAcentral describes it as "SSU rRNA". It matches the Rfam family "Eukaryotic small subunit ribosomal RNA", at positions 1 to 565 of the family's 1831-position model. Lineage: Eukaryota; Haptophyta; Prymnesiales; Chrysochromulinaceae. The record is from RNAcentral.